UUUACAAACACUGCACACAAUACAAUAGCACCUGGUGUUCGCCAUGUGCUCAAAAAUCAUUCAUCGACCUUCCCAGUAGUCUCCCAGAAUGUUUGCCUUGCAAUGCGUGUCAUCCAGAUUUAGGGUUAAGAACAGUCAGGGAGUGCACUCCCACCUCUGACACAGUGUGUGGGCCUCUGGAUCAGCACUACUGCACUGAGACACAUAAGAAGGGCUGCAGAUUUGCACAGAGACACACCAUCUGCAGGCCUGGGCAAUUCAUCAAACGCAAUGGAACAACACUGACUAAUACUGAAUGCGGAGAAUGUCCUGACAGAACAUUUUCAGAAAAUUAUUUUUCUGCAUUCUGCAAACCACACACAGAUUGCCAAUCCUUGGUACUUCAGGAAAUUACAGCUGGAACAAACACAUCAGACAGUGAAUGUGGACCAAGAAAUUAUCCUCGUUCCAGAGUUGCUGGGCUUGUGCCUGCGGUGAUUGUAGUACUUCUAUUAAC
This is a long non-coding RNA of Conger conger (European conger), 496 nucleotides long. RefSeq lists it as uncharacterized. The record is from RefSeq and is a predicted model, not a curated record. The transcript has 4 exons. NCBI's taxonomy places the organism in Eukaryota, Metazoa, Chordata, Actinopteri, Anguilliformes, Congridae.